AGUGACAAGCGAAGAUGGUGCUAGGGUUUCAUCCCUGUUCCCAAUCCCAUUCUCUUCUCCAAACCCUAGAAAUCCUCUUGAAUUCCUUCUCCCUUCGCCCUGGAAGUACCAGCACCACUCGCUCCCGUGGUCCUCAUGCCUCACAUUCCCCUCUCCGCAGCCUCAAACCCCCCUCGAAGUCGUCGCCGUCGCUGUCGCCGUCGCCGCAGGAUCUCAAUUUUAGGAGGCUCACAUCUCGGGUCAUCGAGCUCACUCGAAGGAGACAGCUGCGGCAGAUUUUGAGGGAAAUAGAGAAAGUGAAGAAGAGGUGUGGGAAGUUGAGUACUGCUGUGAUGAACGCUGUCAUGGAAACAUGUGUUCAUGGCUGAGACAUUGAGUCUUCUAUUCGAGUCUUUGAGGAAAUGUUUAAGCCUGCGAGUUGUGGUGUAACGCGGUGUAAAUGGCCAAGUGUAAAUUGCAAAGACUGAAUUGUACCUAAAAAUAUUGCCUUGGACUAAAUCGACCCAACUUGACCAAAUAUGAGGACUUAAUUGUACCUAAAAAUAUUAGAAUGACUAAAAAGAUAUAAAAGUACAUAAUUAGAGUGACCUGUAAAGUAAUUAAACCUUCUUUUUUUUAUUUGAAUAAUUGGAGGAGACAACAAGCAUAUGUCCUUUGUGUUUUGCAUUUAAGGUUAUGGUAUGGAGGUUUGAAUGUUAAAUUGUUUGGAGGAAAAAAAAAGGGGAAUGAGUGACAACAUCUUUGUUUAAGUAAAUUAUACAUGGGUUCUUCUCAAACAGUGAUAUAUAUAUAUAAAUUUAAUAUGGACAAGUAAAUUUAAUAUAUCAUUUUCAAAGAAGAGUGCAAUGACAUGAAAAAUGGAAAUUUGGUUGUUUAUAUUAUUAUUGGGGAAACUGUAAGACUGUUCACUUUGAUUCUUGAUCAUUAGCUUUGGGCAUCCUGUCAUCAUAAUGUUUGCAGGGAAAGAUAAUCCUGAUUUGUUGAUCGCAUUAUCUGCAACUUCUUUGCCCAUCAAGAGCAAUGCUGCUUUCUGAUGAAACAUCCUUCUAUUGAUAUUGAAAGGGUUGAGGCGAGGCUUGAAGAAUUGAUGAAGCAUUCCAUAUUCUCGAGUCUCUGGAAAAUGGGGAUAUGUGCCAUGCCAAUGGCCUUGUAGCACAUUACCAAGUUGUGCUAAAAAAAGAAGACCAAGUCUUGCUAUACAACCUACUGAUAAAGAUGUAUAAUUUUCUCAGUGGUUCUUGAAGACUGAUUCCCCUCAAGGUGCAUUAACUAUAAGAGAUGAGAUCUUACGCCAAGCGUUGAAGCCUGAUAAAGUGACUUAUAAUACAUUGGUUUUUGCAUGUGUGAAAUCUGGAGAUCUAGAUGCUGCAUUUCAGUUGAUCACAGAAAUGAAGGUCUUGAAAAAGAGGAAGCUCAAAAAGCUAACAGCAAUGAAUUCUUUCUGAUGUUGUUACUUACACUACUUUACUAAAGGCUGUUAUUAAAGCGGAGAUUUUAUCUGGAUUCACCAGUCAUCGUUUACUCCAUACAUCCUUCCUCAGGUUACAUUAGACGAUCCAAUUGAAAAGUACUUGACUUCUUUUGAGGAAUCUAAUCCAUUGCCUUCUAGCCUGGCAUUGAAAAAGGUGGUCAUGCGUUGCUUCAGAGAUUCUGUAGUUCCUGUUAUAGAUGACUGAGGCAGCUGUGUUGGAAUUCUCCACUGUGAUGAAUGUAAAAUGGCAAGUCAAUAUCACCAUAUAAUAGUAAUGCUGGAUGUUAUGAAUGGGAUGCGCCUCUUUCAACCAUGAUGAGAGGAGUGCCACCUUGUCUAACCAUAUCAACAUCCAUUGGCCGUGUGAUCGAUCUACUCUUAGAGAAAAAGUACAAAAUGUUCAUCAUUGUCAAAAACAGCAACAUCAUCUACAAAACCACCUACAGUUCAAGCUUGAGCCCAGUCGGAACUUUCACCCAUGACAAGCUGUUCCAGCUCACAAUUCCUGCUUUCCAAACAUUAUGAUGAUGAUGAUGAUGAUGAUGAUGAUGAUGAUGGACAUGCUUCAUCUCCAUUUAAAGCUGCAGGCCAUGGAGACAUCAGAUAAGGAGUCACCUGAUCACAAUUCAAUGUAAGAUCACAAAUCAGCUCCAACUUCUUCUCACUUACACCAAACCUGUACACCGCUUUGCGUGUCUGCACGAACACUGCCUGCAUUUCACGACAAACAUACAAAAUCUUUACUGGUCGGAAGUUUCUCCGGACCAUGCAACUUCACCCUCUCCUUAGCAACCCAUCUUUUCCGGUCACUAAGCUCCCAUAUCACCACCUCUUCUGUCAAUCUCUCCAUUGCGCAAUACACAAGAGUUCCAUUGGCACUGCAAUGUAUAGACUUUGCCUGUAAUCCUGCGCCCACCACCGGUUCACUGAUCAACUCCGCUGCUUCACUCUCACUGUUAUAGCUGAGCACCGCUCCGUCCAGUGUCAUCCAAUACAAAUUGCCUCCGAUCGAGAUACCAGCCUUCUGUUCCGGUUCGAAACACACAUAUCUUGGGAACUUACUCACCAAUUUAUUACAAUUCCACUCAUUCUUCUUGCUACAAUAUACCCUGAAUUCAAUCUGCUUUGUCCUACAUCCCCAUUUGACACGAAAACCUGGGCAGCGCUUCUGCAACUCAUCAAUGGGCACUAUUUUAUUGUGGUAUAUAAGCCCAUAAAUAUGUAAUGCCAUUUGUAUGUCGCCUGUUUCAAGCUUGUAAGCAAAUACUGCUUUGAUAUGAUUGUCUUUUUCAUGUAUCAGGCCAAAUGCAUGGCACUCAUCUUGUUUUUCUCUCAUUUUUGGUAUCACUAAUCUUCUUCUGGUGACCGGGUUGUAGACAAUUUUCUUUCCAUCUGUACACAAAAUCAAGAAUCCAUUGGAAUAAGGCAUGGUAGAUAUGCUUUGCAGAUUGAUAUGGACAUGGUUCAAUGAUGGUGACUUGAGACGGUGAUUAACAGGAUUAAAGGUCAAGUCAUAGUUGUCAUCUGCAUGGAAAAAACCUGCGAGAACUGGAGGACCA
Molecule: RNA transcript, 3030 nt
Organism: Dioscorea cayenensis subsp. rotundata (Guinea yam)
Lineage: Eukaryota; Viridiplantae; Streptophyta; Magnoliopsida; Dioscoreales; Dioscoreaceae
Gene name: pentatricopeptide repeat-containing protein At5g10690-like
Exons: 9
Source: RefSeq, a predicted model, not a curated record